RNAcentral lists this ribosomal RNA (502 nucleotides) under uncultured bacterium. Its description in RNAcentral is "partial 16S ribosomal RNA". It matches the Rfam family "Bacterial small subunit ribosomal RNA", at positions 30 to 523 of the family's 1533-position model. The record is from RNAcentral.
AUUGAACGCUGGCGGCAGGCUUAACACAUGCAAGUCGAGCGGGGUGAUGGUGCUUGCACUAUCACUUAGCGGCGGACGGGUGAGUAAUGCUUAGGAAUCUGCCUAUUAGUGGGGGACAACAUCUCGAAAGGGAUGCUAAUACCGCAUACGUCCUACGGGAGAAAGCAGGGGAUCACUUGUGACCUUGCGCUAAUAGAUGAGCCUAAGUCGGAUUAGCUAGUUGGUGGGGUAAAGGCCUACCAAGGCGACGAUCUGUAGCGGGUCUGAGAGGAUGAUCGGCCACACUGGGACUGAGACACGGCCCAGACUCCGACGGGAGGCAGCAGUGGGGAAUAUUGGACAAUGGGGGGAACCCUGAUCCAGCCAUGCCGCGUGUGUGAAGAAGGUCUUCGGAUUGUAAAGCACUUUAAGUUGGGAGGAAGUGCAGUAAGUUAAUACCUUGCUGUUUUGACGUUACCGACAGAAUAAGCACCGGCUAACUCUGUGCCAGCCGCCGCUGUAA